AAUAUUGCACAAUGGGGGAAACCCUGAUGCAGCAACGCAGCGUGAGUGCUGACGGACUUCGGUUUGUAAAGCUCUGUCUUCAGGGACGAUAAUGACGGUACCUGACGAGGAAGCAAUGGCGAACAACGUGCCAGCAGCCGCGGUAAAACGCAGGUGGCGAGCCUUGUCCGGAUUUACUGGGCGUGAAGGGAGCGUAGGCGGACUUUUAAGUGAGAUGUGAAAUACCCGGGCUCCACUUGGGUGCUGCAUUUCAAACUGGAAGUCUAGAGUGCAGGAGAGGAGGAUAGAAUUCCUAGUGUAGCGGUGAAAUGCGUAGAGAUUAGGAAGAACACCAGUGGCGAAGGCGAUUCUCUGGACUGUAACUGACGCUGAGGCUCGAAAGCGUGGGGAGCAAACAGG
RNAcentral lists this ribosomal RNA (399 nucleotides) under uncultured bacterium. Its description in RNAcentral is "partial 16S ribosomal RNA". It matches the Rfam family "Bacterial small subunit ribosomal RNA", at positions 360 to 776 of the family's 1533-position model. The record is from RNAcentral.